GAUGAACGCUGGCGGCGUGCCUAAUACAUGCAAGUCGAGCGAACAGACGAGGAGCUUGCUCCUCUGACGUUAGCGGCGGACGUGUGAGUAACACGUGUAUAACCUACCUAUAAUACUUGGAUAACUUCGUGAAACCGUAGCUAAUACCGGAUAAUAUAUUUAACCGCAUGUUUCAAUAGUUAAAUACGUUUUUUCUGUCACUUAUAGAUGGUUCCGCGCCGCAUUAGCUAGUUGGUAAGGUAACGUCUUACCAAGGCAACGAUGCGUAUCCGACCUGAGAGGGGGAUCGGCCACACUGGAACUGAGACACGGUCCAGACUCCGACGGGAGGCAGCAGUAGGGAAUAGUCCGCAAUGGGCGAAAGCUUGACGGAGCAACGCCGCGUGAGUGAUGAAGGUCUUCGGAUCGUAAAACUCUGUUAUUAGGGAAGAACAAAUGUGUAAGUAAAUAUGCACGUAUUGACGGUAACUAAUCAGAAAGCCACGGCUAACUACGUG
RNAcentral lists this ribosomal RNA (497 nucleotides) under uncultured bacterium. RNAcentral's name for it is "partial 16S ribosomal RNA". It matches the Rfam family "Bacterial small subunit ribosomal RNA", at positions 28 to 507 of the family's 1533-position model. The record is from RNAcentral.